Molecule: non-coding RNA, 86 nt
Filed under: bovine gut metagenome
Description: Glycine riboswitch
Rfam family: Glycine riboswitch aptamer
About the family: This family represents the bacterial glycine riboswitch. Glycine riboswitches usually consist of two metabolite-binding aptamers domains with similar structures in tandem. The aptamers cooperatively bind glycine to regulate the expression of downstream genes.
Source: RNAcentral
GCACUCUGGAGACGCCCGGCAUGCGCCGGGGGCCGAAGGUGAAAGCGCCGAAGGGCGCGAAUCUCUCAGGCAAAAGGACAGAGCAG